GGAUUAGAUACCCUGGUAGUCCACGCCGUAAACGAUGUCUACUAGCCGUUGGGGUCCUUGAGGCCUUAGUGGCGCAGCUAACGCACUAAGUAGACCGCCUGGGGAGUACGGUCGCAAGAUUAAAACUCAAAUGAAUUGACGGGGGCCCGCACAAGCGGUGGAGCAUGUGGUUUAAUUCGAAGCAACGCGAAGAACCUUACCAGGGCUUGACAUCCUUGAGAUCCUGCAGAGAUGCGGGAGUGCCUUCGGGAAUCAAGUGACAGGUGCUGCAUGGCUGUCGUCAGCUCGUGCUG
RNAcentral lists this ribosomal RNA (293 nucleotides) under uncultured bacterium. RNAcentral's name for it is "partial 16S ribosomal RNA". It matches the Rfam family "Bacterial small subunit ribosomal RNA", at positions 775 to 1067 of the family's 1533-position model. The record is from RNAcentral.